This 1345-nucleotide ribosomal RNA is filed under the name uncultured bacterium. RNAcentral's name for it is "partial 16S ribosomal RNA". It matches the Rfam family "Bacterial small subunit ribosomal RNA", at positions 28 to 1380 of the family's 1533-position model. The record is from RNAcentral.
GACGAACGCUGGCGGCGUGCUUAACACAUGCAAGUCGAACGGAAAGGCCCUGCUUUUGUGGGGUGCUCGAGUGGCGAACGGGUGAGUAACACGUGAGUAACCUGCCCUUGACUUUGGGAUAACUUCAGGAAACUGGGGCUAAUACCGGAUAGGAGCUCCUGCUGCAUGGUGGGGGUUGGAAAGUUUCGGCGGUUGGGGAUGGACUCGCGGCUUAUCAGCUUGUUGGUGGGGUAGUGGCUUACCAAGGCUUUGACGGGUAGCCGGCCUGAGAGGGUGACCGGCCACAUUGGGACUGAGAUACGGCCCAGACUCCUACGGGAGGCAGCAGUGGGGAAUAUUGCACAAUGGGCGGAAGCCUGAUGCAGCAACGCCGCGUGCGGGAUGACGGCCUUCGGGUUGUAAACCGCUUUCGCCUGUGACGAAGCGUGAGUGACGGUAAUGGGUAAAGAAGCACCGGCUAACUACGUGCCAGCAGCCGCGGUGAUACGUAGGGUGCGAGCGUUGUCCGGAUUUAUUGGGCGUAAAGGGCUCGUAGGUGGUUGAUCGCGUCGGAAGUGUAAUCUUGGGGCUUAACCCUGAGCGUGCUUUCGAUACGGGUUGACUUGAGGAAGGUAGGGGAGAAUGGAAUUCCUGGUGGAGCGGUGGAAUGCGCAGAUAUCAGGAGGAACACCAGUGGCGAAGGCGGUUCUCUGGGCCUUUCCUGACGCUGAGGAGCGAAAGCGUGGGGAGCGAACAGGCUUAGAUACCCUGGUAGUCCACGCUGUAAACGGUGGGUACUAGGUGUGGGGUCCAUUCCACGGGUUCCGUGCCGUAGCUAACGCUUUAAGUACCCCGCCUGGGGAGUACGGCCGCAAGGCUAAAACUCAAAGGAAUUGACGGGGCCCCGCACAAGCGGCGGAGCAUGCGGAUUAAUUCGAUGCAACGCGUAGAACCUUACCUGGGUUUGACAUGGAUCGGGAGUGCUCAGAGAUGGGUGUGCCUCUUUUGGGGUCGGUUCACAGGUGGUGCAUGGCUGUCGUCAGCUCGUGUCGUGAGAUGUUGGGUUAAGUCCCGCAACGAGCGCAACCCUUGUUCACUGUUGCCAGCACGUUAUGGUGGGGACUCAGUGGAGACCGCCGGGGUCAGCUCGGAGGAAGGUGGGGAUGACGUCAAGUCAUCACGCCCCUUAUGUCCAGGGCUUCACGCAUGCUACAAUGGCUGGUACAGAGAGUGGCGAGCCUGCGAGGGUGAGCGAAUCUCGGAAAGCCGGUCUCAGUUCGGAUUGGGGUCUGCAACUCGACCUCAUGAAGUCGGAGUCGCUAGUAAUCGCAGAUCAGCAACGCUGCGGUGAAUACGUUCCCGGGGC